This is a long non-coding RNA of Metopolophium dirhodum (rose-grain aphid), 1441 nucleotides long. RefSeq lists it as uncharacterized. The record is from RefSeq and is a predicted model, not a curated record. Lineage: Eukaryota; Metazoa; Arthropoda; Insecta; Hemiptera; Aphididae. The transcript has 4 exons.
AGAACAACUGUAAUGGGGUAGGUUAAUAGAACUCAAGACAUUCUUCGUCAAUUGAAUAAAGCUUAAUACUAACGAUAAGUGUCUAAGAAAUUAACUAAAUACGCCGUUUAGCGUUAUUAUUAUAAACUCAUUUGUAAAGGUAUAGGUAAUUAGUUAUCUGUUAGCUGAUACUAUCAAUGUUCAAAACGAAACUACGUCAGUAUAUUAAAUACCACUUCAGUAGUCAGUACGGUGACGCAUAGAACAGAAGUAUAAUGUGUUAUGUAUAAAGGGUAAAGACAAUAUAUCGGCGGAGUUAUCAAUUAAAUCAAAGAGAGCGGUUUAGAUAAACGUAUUCGAUUCGUUUAGUUUCGUUUUUAAAGUAGGAUGUGACGCGAGACUUUUGAAAAUCUACAAAGGGCGAAGAAUAGAAGAGGUUGCGAAUUACUGUUAUAGUUCAUUUAAACUAAUAAAUAGGGGAGGCACAGAAGGCAAACUGUAACACCGGCGGGUCAACACCAGCGACCAGAGAGGGCCAACAUCGCCCUUCAGCCACCGACGACAGACCGAAGGCUCGAAGCGAAGACAACCGGGAAGCGGGGACCAAACGGUCAGACCAUCCAGCGCCUCAGUACCAUCAUCUGAAACUGCCCCACAGCGGCAGGCGUGCCCCGGGGCAUUAGCAGGACACCCACAGCACGGCUAGUCACCGUCCGGGUGAUCGCGAUUGAUCCGAAAGGGCGCUCGGGCCGAACGCCUCAAGUCUCCACUCUCCGCUGACCGGGCACUCAACGCACCGAGCAGCACGCAGCAAGACCAGACACGGAGGAAACAGAAGGAAAACUGUAUAAAAUCCAAACACCGGCAGUCAACAACAGACUACACAGGGCAAACAUCGCUUCACCGAUAGAACAUCAGCCGAAGACGGAACUCCGGGAGACUAGCAGCAAGCGGCACCACACCGCCACCCAUCCGCACCUCCAAUCACCUCAUCCGAAACUGUUCCACAGCGGUUGUAGUGCCCCGGGACAUUAUUAGGACACCCACAGCUUGGUUGGUCACCGUCCGGGUGAUCACGAUUGAGCGUGGAGGGGCCGCGGAUGCGGCGCCAGGAGGUGCCACGGACCGCAAAGCUCCCGGAACGACGAGUACAACAACCACGGUCAGAAGGAAAACUAGGAAACGAACAAUGGCGAUACGCACACUCCACAACAUCGGAAGGAGAAGACGCGAUGAACGAGAUUAGAGGCCGGCUGGCUAUCCAGCAGGGCCGAUAAAACAACAACAGAACGAAAAGACAAGAGUGGCGAGCAGCGAAGCCGGGUCGAGAAUUGUACAAAUGCAAACUGCAGGCUUUCAGCCAACAAUGUAUCUUUUAUCUUUUAUAACAUGUAAGAUUAAUUUAAAUGUGCACCCUUAGAAGACACCCCCCCCCCCAAAAAAAAAAAAAAAAUAUAGGUGU